Equus asinus (donkey) is the source of this 1663-nucleotide long non-coding RNA. The record is from Ensembl. Lineage: Eukaryota; Metazoa; Chordata; Mammalia; Perissodactyla; Equidae.
CCCUGUCAGCUGGACCCCAGCAGAUGGCAGCUGCUACCCGUAAGCCAUACCUGGAGCCAGGGCAGUUCUGGGUGGCCAGGAGGGGGCCCUGGGAUUCCAGAUUCUCAGCUAGGGUGCAAGCUCCCUGGUCCCCCUGCCCCGGCUCUCCCUGCGUCCUCCCUGCCCCCCCACCGGUCAGGCCCUGCUCCCGGCAGCCCCACAGGUUAGAGAAGCCAUGUCCCACAGCCGUUGUAGAUGCUCGUCGUGCACCGUCCCUCCUGUGCUCAAGCGGGCCGGGCCAGUGUCCCCUCGACCUGCCCCCCUGCGUGAGGCCCACACUUGGGUUCUGGGGCGCUGAGUGCGAGCCCCACACUUGAGGUGGAUGGGCGCCCCGGCUCCAACAGAGGAAGCACACAUGCCCGGAGGCUGCAGGCUGGACUCAAGGAGGGCGGGGAGCACCAUGGGCCCCCUGGCGAGGCGCCGGCGGGGACAGCAGUCUCCUGGGAGAUCCCGCCAGGGGUUCCAUGCCCCACGUGCCGCUCAGCCACCCCAGCAGUCCCACCACAGAGUGAAGGCCUGGGAGCAGGGAGCCUUAAAUAGCGCAGGGAAAGCUAAAGUGUUGAAGGAGGGGGCUGCCCAGCAGGAAGCAGCUUUAGUCUCUGCUCCUCUGACAUAAAGGCCCCGCCUUUGACCUUCCUGCUGGCCACUUCUGUAGUCCAAGGGCAGAGUGGUCGGCAGGCCCGAGCGGGCACCCUGCCAGCCCAGCCCAGGACCACCCCUCGAGUGGGCACGUCACGCUGAGGAGGUGAGGUGACUGAGUGGCUCUUUAAGGGGAGUGAAGGUCGGUGGGGGUGUCUGGGCCCUGAGGCUCAUCGUUUGGGGUGCGUGUGCUCCAGGGAGGAGGCCAGGACACGUGUGCAAGAGCCCCAUGGCCUUACACAAGCAUGCGAGGUGCCAGGAGCUCGCUGUGGCCUCCUGUCAGGAGCUGGCUGACUCCAGGGCGUGAGUGAAAGCCCAGCGCUGUUCUGCCUGAGCCCCUGGGCAGCCGGCCAGCAGCCUGGCUCAGGACCGCCCUCAUGUGGGCCUGAGUGUCGGAUCUGUUCUGUACAUAUUGGAAUGUGUUAACUUAUGGCCCGUUGUCCCACUUCACGCUGGAAACACGGGUCUCUCCUCAGUUUCUUUGCUGCAUCUGGAAAGCUCUCUGCCUCAGGCCAGCACCCAGGCGGAGAUGCCCAGAGACAGGCCCUGGCUGGCAGAGCCCCCAGCCCCCGAGUCUCCAGGCCAGCUCUUCCCACUGACGGUUCCUGGGCCUGCGGCAUCUCCUCGGCCCUGCGCGGGCCCCCAGGCUCCUCCCGGGGUUGAGAGGACAGACGCCAGCGCAGCGCGUGACCGCUUGUUCCCCACACAGGCCUGCGCCCUCUGCUGGAGGAGGGGCCGGGGACGGCCGACUGCCCGAGCAACGAGUCUGUGAACUUUUUGGGAACUGGAAGUGUUUAUCUUGAACCCAGGAGCGUUUAAAGCUUUAUUUAUUUAUAGCUUCUUAUUAAAAAAAAAAGUGUUGAGAAGAAAUCUUUUGGUUAUUCAUACAAAAAAAUGAUGAUGGGAAAGCAAGUCAUAAUCAUCUAAUUGUUUUUGUCUAGGUCAAGAAUGAAUGUUAGCAGAUGAAAUAAACCCUGAAAAGGAG